RNAcentral lists this ribosomal RNA (448 nucleotides) under uncultured bacterium. RNAcentral's name for it is "bacterial SSU rRNA". It matches the Rfam family "Bacterial small subunit ribosomal RNA", at positions 330 to 795 of the family's 1533-position model. The record is from RNAcentral.
ACCAGACUCCUACGGGAGGCAGCAGUGGGGGAUAUUGCACAAUGGGGGGAACCCUGAUGCAGCGACGCCGCGUGGGUGAAGAAGCGCCUCGGCGCGUAAAGCCCUGUCAGCAGGGAAGAAAAUGACGGUACCUGAAGAAGAAGCCCCGGCUAACUACGUGCCAGCAGCCGCGGUAAUACGUAGGGGGCAAGCGUUAUCCGGAUUUACUGGGUGUAAAGGGGGCGCAGACGGUGAUGCAAGCCAGGAGUGAAAGCCCGGGGCCCAACCCCGGGACUGCUCUUGGAACUGCGUGGCUGGAGUGCAGGAGGGGCAGGCGGAAUUCCUGGUGUAGCGGUGAAAUGCGUAGAUAUCAGGAGGAACACCGGUGGCGAAGGCGGCCUGCUGGACUGCAACUGACGUUGAGGCCCGAAAGCGUGGGGAGCAAACAGGAUUAGAUACCCCGGUAGAA